Molecule: ribosomal RNA, 548 nt
Filed under: uncultured Glomeromycotina
Lineage: Eukaryota; Fungi; Glomeromycota
Description: SSU rRNA
Rfam family: Eukaryotic small subunit ribosomal RNA
Source: RNAcentral
UUGGAGGGCAAGUCUGGUGCCAGCAGCCGCGGUAAUUCCAGCUCCAAUAGCGUAUAUUAAAGUUGUUGCAGUUAAAAAGCUCGUAGUUGAAUUUCGGGAUCAAAUUGUCGGUCGUGCCUCGGUACGCACUGGUAUUAUUGGUUCCUACCUUCUGAAGAACCGCGAUGUCAUUAAUUUGGUGUCGUGGGGAAUCAGGACUGCUACUUUGAAAAAAUUAGAGUGUUUAAAGCAGGCUUACGCUUGAAUACAUUAGCAUGGAAUAAUGAAAUAGGGCGUUUGAUUCUAUUUUGUUGGUUUCUAGGAUUGACGUAAUGAUUAAUAGGGAUAGUUGGGGGCAUUAGUAUUCAAUCGUCAGAGGUGAAAUUCUUGGAUUUAUUGAAGACUAACUACUGCGAAAGCAUUUGCCAAGGAUGUUUUCAUUAAUCAAGAACGAAAGUUAGGGGAUCGAAGACGAUCAGAUACCGUCGUAGUCUUAACCAUAAACUAUGCCGACUAGGGAUCGGAUGAUGUUAAUUUUUUAAUGACUCAUUCGGCGCCUUACGGGAAAC